GGUUGAUCCAGCAUGCUUUUUUUUUUUAUAUAAUUUGUGUCUUGUGUCUUGGGUGGACCUACAAAUAAGUCUUCUACACCUUCAUGCUUUCUCCAUCUGCUAUUUGUUGCUUCUUUGUUGUUAUCAUCGUUCUUUACAAGUCCAUUGGUUCCAGCUCACACUAUAUAUAUAUCAAUCAUGUACAAAGGCAUAUUAACCAAACCCAAAGCAAAAUCAAUCUCAUUAGUGGCUGAAUUAAGAUUUAAUUAAGACUCAGGCUUUGCUUUUUUUUUCAGCUUUAACAAUCGAAGCAAAUAAAGCAUAAAGCCAUAAACAAAUAUUAACAUGUAACCACUUCCUCUUCAAUUUACGACAAUUUUUCAGCAACAAAUUUGAUAACAGUAAAAUUUCAUGUAUUUUCAGCAGUAGAUGAAAAAUAUCUUGGCAUGCAACAUUAUAAUUUCCUAUGACAUUAAUAUCAAUAAAAGUUCAGUUUUAUUUGUUUGGAUUACGAAAAUGUUUUAUAUAUUUUUCUAUACUUAUUAAUGCUUUGUAGAUUGGUAAUUUUGAUAAGUUUGGUUAAAUAUAACUAUAUCUAUGAUUAUUUGAUUUUAAUUUUAAUUU
This 603-nucleotide unclassified non-coding RNA is filed under the name Hevea brasiliensis (rubber tree). Lineage: Eukaryota; Viridiplantae; Streptophyta; Magnoliopsida; Malpighiales; Euphorbiaceae. The record is from RNAcentral.